GUGCCAGCCGCCGCGGUAAUACGUAGGGUGCAAGCGUUGUCCGGAAUUAUUGGGCGUAAAGAGCUCGUAGGCGGUUUGUCGCGUCUGCUGUGAAAUCCUGAGGCUCAACCUUGGGCGUGCAGUGGGUACGGGCAGACUAGAGUGCGGUAGGGGAGAUUGGAAUUCCUGGUGUAGCGGUGGAAUGCGCAGAUAUCAGGAGGAACACCGAUGGCGAAGGCAGAUCUCUGGGCCGCUACUGACGCUGAGGAGCGAAAGCAUGGGGAGCGAACAGGAUUAGAUACCCCGGUAGUCC
RNAcentral lists this ribosomal RNA (292 nucleotides) under uncultured prokaryote. RNAcentral's name for it is "partial 16S ribosomal RNA". It matches the Rfam family "Bacterial small subunit ribosomal RNA", at positions 505 to 796 of the family's 1533-position model. The record is from RNAcentral.